RNAcentral lists this ribosomal RNA (497 nucleotides) under uncultured bacterium. Its description in RNAcentral is "partial 16S ribosomal RNA". It matches the Rfam family "Bacterial small subunit ribosomal RNA", at positions 28 to 507 of the family's 1533-position model. The record is from RNAcentral.
GAUGAACGCUGGCGGCGUGCCUAAUACAUGCAAGUCGAGCGAACGGACGAGAAGCUUGCUUCUCUGAUGUUAGCGGCGGACGGGUGAGUAACACGUGGAUAACCUACCUAUAAGACUGGGAUAACUUCGGGAAACCGGAGCUAAUACCGGAUAAUAUUUUGAACCGCAUGGUUCAAAAGUGAAAGACGGUCUUGCUGUCACUUAUAGAUGGAUCCGCGCUGCAUUAGCUAGUUGGUAAGGUAACGGCUUACCAAGGCAACGAUGCAUAGCCGACCUGAGAGGGUGAUCGGACACACUGGAACUGAGACACGGUCCAGACUCCGACGGGAGGCAGCAGUAGGGACUCUUCCGCAAUGGGCGAAAGCCUGACGGAGCAACGCCGCGGGAGUGAUGAAGGUCUCCGGAUCGUAAAACUCUGUUAUUAGGGAAGAACAUAUGUGUAAGUAACUGUGCACAUAUUGACGGUACCUAAUCAGAAAGCCACGGCUAACUACGUG